RNAcentral lists this ribosomal RNA (2902 nucleotides) under Escherichia coli. Its description in RNAcentral is "bacterial LSU rRNA". It matches the Rfam family "Bacterial large subunit ribosomal RNA". RNAcentral also lists the same sequence under 1 other name. The record is from RNAcentral. Lineage: Bacteria; Pseudomonadati; Pseudomonadota; Gammaproteobacteria; Enterobacterales; Enterobacteriaceae.
UUAAGCGACUAAGCGUACACGGUGGAUGCCCUGGCAGUCAGAGGCGAUGAAGGACGUGCUAAUCUGCGAUAAGCGUCGGUAAGGUGAUAUGAACCGUUAUAACCGGCGAUUUCCGAAUGGGGAAACCCAGUGUGUUUCGACACACUAUCAUUAACUGAAUCCAUAGGUUAAUGAGGCGAACCGGGGGAACUGAAACAUCUAAGUACCCCGAGGAAAAGAAAUCAACCGAGAUUCCCCCAGUAGCGGCGAGCGAACGGGGAGGAGCCCAGAGCCUGAAUCAGUGUGUGUGUUAGUGGAAGCGUCUGGAAAGGCGCGCGAUACAGGGUGACAGCCCCGUACACAAAAAUGCACAUGCUGUGAGCUCGAUGAGUAGGGCGGGACACGUGGUAUCCUGUCUGAAUAUGGGGGGACCAUCCUCCAAGGCUAAAUACUCCUGACUGACCGAUAGUGAACCAGUACCGUGAGGGAAAGGCGAAAAGAACCCCGGCGAGGGGAGUGAAAAAGAACCUGAAACCGUGUACGUACAAGCAGUGGGAGCACGCUUAGGCGUGUGACUGCGUACCUUUUGUAUAAUGGGUCAGCGACUUAUAUUCUGUAGCAAGGUUAACCGAAUAGGGGAGCCGAAGGGAAACCGAGUCUUAACUGGGCGUUAAGUUGCAGGGUAUAGACCCGAAACCCGGUGAUCUAGCCAUGGGCAGGUUGAAGGUUGGGUAACACUAACUGGAGGACCGAACCGACUAAUGUUGAAAAAUUAGCGGAUGACUUGUGGCUGGGGGUGAAAGGCCAAUCAAACCGGGAGAUAGCUGGUUCUCCCCGAAAGCUAUUUAGGUAGCGCCUCGUGAACUCAUCUCCGGGGGUAGAGCACUGUUUCGGCAAGGGGGUCAUCCCGACUUACCAACCCGAUGCAAACUGCGAAUACCGGAGAAUGUUAUCACGGGAGACACACGGCGGGUGCUAACGUCCGUCGUGAAGAGGGAAACAACCCAGACCGCCAGCUAAGGUCCCAAAGUCAUGGUUAAGUGGGAAACGAUGUGGGAAGGCCCAGACAGCCAGGAUGUUGGCUUAGAAGCAGCCAUCAUUUAAAGAAAGCGUAAUAGCUCACUGGUCGAGUCGGCCUGCGCGGAAGAUGUAACGGGGCUAAACCAUGCACCGAAGCUGCGGCAGCGACGCUUAUGCGUUGUUGGGUAGGGGAGCGUUCUGUAAGCCUGUGAAGGUGUGCUGUGAGGCAUGCUGGAGGUAUCAGAAGUGCGAAUGCUGACAUAAGUAACGAUAAAGCGGGUGAAAAGCCCGCUCGCCGGAAGACCAAGGGUUCCUGUCCAACGUUAAUCGGGGCAGGGUGAGUCGACCCCUAAGGCGAGGCCGAAAGGCGUAGUCGAUGGGAAACAGGUUAAUAUUCCUGUACUUGGUGUUACUGCGAAGGGGGGACGGAGAAGGCUAUGUUGGCCGGGCGACGGUUGUCCCGGUUUAAGCGUGUAGGCUGGUUUUCCAGGCAAAUCCGGAAAAUCAAGGCUGAGGCGUGAUGACGAGGCACUACGGUGCUGAAGCAACAAAUGCCCUGCUUCCAGGAAAAGCCUCUAAGCAUCAGGUAACAUCAAAUCGUACCCCAAACCGACACAGGUGGUCAGGUAGAGAAUACCAAGGCGCUUGAGAGAACUCGGGUGAAGGAACUAGGCAAAAUGGUGCCGUAACUUCGGGAGAAGGCACGCUGAUAUGUAGGUGAAGUCCCUCGCGGAUGGAGCUGAAAUCAGUCGAAGAUACCAGCUGGCUGCAACUGUUUAUUAAAAACACAGCACUGUGCAAACACGAAAGUGGACGUAUACGGUGUGACGCCUGCCCGGUGCCGGAAGGUUAAUUGAUGGGGUCAGCGCAAGCGAAGCUCUUGAUCGAAGCCCCGGUAAACGGCGGCCGUAACUAUAACGGUCCUAAGGUAGCGAAAUUCCUUGUCGGGUAAGUUCCGACCUGCACGAAUGGCGUAAUGAUGGCCAGGCUGUCUCCACCCGAGACUCAGUGAAAUUGAACUCGCUGUGAAGAUGCAGUGUACCCGCGGCAAGACGGAAAGACCCCGUGAACCUUUACUAUAGCUUGACACUGAACAUUGAGCCUUGAUGUGUAGGAUAGGUGGGAGGCUUAGAAGUGUGGACGCCAGUCUGCAUGGAGCCGACCUUGAAAUACCACCCUUUAAUGUUUGAUGUUCUAACGUUGACCCGUAAUCCGGGUUGCGGACAGUGUCUGGUGGGUAGUUUGACUGGGGCGGUCUCCUCCUAAAGAGUAACGGAGGAGCACGAAGGUUGGCUAAUCCUGGUCGGACAUCAGGAGGUUAGUGCAAUGGCAUAAGCCAGCUUGACUGCGAGCGUGACGGCGCGAGCAGGUGCGAAAGCAGGUCAUAGUGAUCCGGUGGUUCUGAAUGGAAGGGCCAUCGCUCAACGGAUAAAAGGUACUCCGGGGAUAACAGGCUGAUACCGCCCAAGAGUUCAUAUCGACGGCGGUGUUUGGCACCUCGAUGUCGGCUCAUCACAUCCUGGGGCUGAAGUAGGUCCCAAGGGUAUGGCUGUUCGCCAUUUAAAGUGGUACGCGAGCUGGGUUUAGAACGUCGUGAGACAGUUCGGUCCCUAUCUGCCGUGGGCGCUGGAGAACUGAGGGGGGCUGCUCCUAGUACGAGAGGACCGGAGUGGACGCAUCACUGGUGUUCGGGUUGUCAUGCCAAUGGCACUGCCCGGUAGCUAAAUGCGGAAGAGAUAAGUGCUGAAAGCAUCUAAGCACGAAACUUGCCCCGAGAUGAGUUCUCCCUGACUCCUUGAGAGUCCUGAAGGAACGUUGAAGACGACGACGUUGAUAGGCCGGGUGUGUAAGCGCAGCGAUGCGUUGAGCUAACCGGUACUAAUGAACCGUGAGGCUUAACCUU